Molecule: microRNA precursor, 77 nt
Filed under: Podarcis lilfordi (Lilford's wall lizard)
Lineage: Eukaryota; Metazoa; Chordata; Lepidosauria; Squamata; Lacertidae
Source: RNAcentral
UCCCAGAAGCCAGAAAAGCAAGAGGGAUUGCUGCUUUCGCUGCGCAGCGAUCCCUCUUGCUGUUCUGGCUUCUGGGA